Molecule: long non-coding RNA, 692 nt
Filed under: Ursus maritimus (polar bear)
Lineage: Eukaryota; Metazoa; Chordata; Mammalia; Carnivora; Ursidae
Description: lncRNA (ENSUMAG00000005543.1)
Source: RNAcentral
CUCGCGUCGUGCUGGCACUUUUACUGGCCGAGUCUUAGAGCUGAGCCUGUAGCCAGGCGCCAUCUUUGACGCUGGCAGUCUUGGAUUUCUGCUGGUGUUGCUGCUGUGAGGACGGCGGGCGGCAGCGGCUAAGAAAGAAGAAAGACGUGGCAGCAAGCGGGAGUCGGGGACGGUGUCGGCGGUUCGGUAAAGUUUCUGUUUUCUGGAUUGAUGAAACCGUAAUGAAGAACACCCCCUAAAGUCCCAUAAUCGGUGCGGAUUCCUAUGGGGAAGGCCCAUGUUGUUGACAUCUUGCAGGCCUUGGUUCUGGACCUUGAGAAGGAGGCGGUGGAACUAGUGAUAGCGAUGCUUUUUAGGAUUUGGGGAUAUUCCCUGCCCAAAAAUUUCCUGGAAAAUUGACUAGUAUUAAGUGUGAGUAAAAGGUGUCCACUUUUUUUUAAGUUUUGAUUUUAGUUUUGUCUUGGAUAGUAUUUGGCAAGAUUUAGCCUAGAAAUUAUGUAGUAUUUAUUACAUGAGAAUCAAAAUUGCUUUGUUACGGGGCUGGUUUCAAAAUUUAGAACUCAUUUCUAUGUAUCAAAAUCGUUUUUUGUUUUUGUUUUUUGGGUUUUUUGUUUUUUUUGGUUUUUCUUUUUUUUAAUUCUUAAAUGGUAAAUGUACCAUUGUGAAAUGAAAUUUCAACUCCGAAAGUUUAC